RNAcentral lists this ribosomal RNA (563 nucleotides) under Salmonella enterica. Its description in RNAcentral is "partial 23S ribosomal RNA". It matches the Rfam family "Bacterial large subunit ribosomal RNA", at positions 82 to 688 of the family's 2925-position model. Lineage: Bacteria; Pseudomonadati; Pseudomonadota; Gammaproteobacteria; Enterobacterales; Enterobacteriaceae. RNAcentral also lists the same sequence under 1 other name. The record is from RNAcentral.
UAAGGUGAUAUGAACCGUUAUAACCGGCGAUACCCGAAUGGGGAAACCCAGUGUGACUCGUCACACUAUCAUUAACUGAAUCCAUAGGUUAAUGAGGCGAACCGGGGGAACUGAAACAUCUAAGUACCCCGAGGAAAAGAAAUCAACCGAGAUUCCCCCAGUAGCGGCGAGCGAACGGGGAGGAGCCCAGAGCCUGAAUCAGCAUGUGUGUUAGUGGAAGCGUCUGGAAAGGCGCGCGAUACAGGGUGACAGCCCCGUACACAAAAGCGCAUGUGCUGUGAGCUCGAUGAGUAGGGCGGGACACGUGGUAUCCUGUCUGAAUAUGGGGGGACCAUCCUCCAAGGCUAAAUACUCCUGACUGACCGAUAGUGAACCAGUACCGUGAGGGAAAGGCGAAAAGAACCCCGGCGAGGGGAGUGAAAAAGAACCUGAAACCGUGUACGUACAAGCAGUGGGAGCACCCUUUGGGUGUGACUGCGUACCUUUUGUAUAAUGGGUCAGCGACUUAUAUUCUGUAGCAAGGUUAACCGAAUAGGGGAGCCGGAGGGAAACCGAGUCUUAAC